RNAcentral lists this small RNA (27 nucleotides) under Bombyx mori (domestic silkworm). RNAcentral's name for it is "piRNA piR-bmo-2122128". Lineage: Eukaryota; Metazoa; Arthropoda; Insecta; Lepidoptera; Bombycidae. The record is from RNAcentral.
GGAAAGCCAUUUGGAGCGGGUUUGGAG